Molecule: ribosomal RNA, 693 nt
Filed under: uncultured bacterium
Lineage: Bacteria
Description: bacterial SSU rRNA
Rfam family: Bacterial small subunit ribosomal RNA
Source: RNAcentral
AGUCGAGCGGAUGACAGGAGCUUGCUCCUGAAUUCAGCGGCGGACGGGUGAGUAAUGCCUAGGAAUCUGCCUGGUAGUGGGGGACAACGUUUCGAAAGGAACGCUAAUACCGCAUACGUCCUACGGGAGAAAGCAGGGGACCUUCGGGCCUUGCGCUAUCAGAUGAGCCUAGGUCGGAUUAGCUAGUUGGUGAGGUAAUGGCUCACCAAGGCGACGAUCCGUAACUGGUCUGAGAGGAUGAUCAGUCACACUGGAACUGAGACACGGUCCAGACUCCUACGGGAGGCAGCAGUGGGGAAUAUUGGACAAUGGGCGAAAGCCUGAUCCAGCCAUGCCGCGUGUGUGAAGAAGGUCUUCGGAUUGUAAAGCACUUUAAGUUGGGAGGAAGGGCAUUAACCUAAUACGUUAGUGUUUUGACGUUACCGACAGAAUAAGCACCGGCUAACUCUGUGCCAGCAGCCGCGGUAAUACAGAGGGUGCAAGCGUUAAUCGGAAUUACUGGGCGUAAAGCGCGCGUAGGUGGUUUGUUAAGUUGGAUGUGAAAUCCCCGGGCUCAACCUGGGAACUGCAUUCAAAACUGACAAGCUAGAGUAUGGUAGAGGGUGGUGGAAUUUCCUGUGUAGCGGUGAAAUGCGUAGAUAUAGGAAGGAACACCAGUGGCGAAGGCGACCACCUGGACUGAUACUGACACUG